RNAcentral lists this long non-coding RNA (486 nucleotides) under Phascolarctos cinereus (koala). RNAcentral describes it as "lncRNA (ENSPCIG00000030495.2)". Lineage: Eukaryota; Metazoa; Chordata; Mammalia; Diprotodontia; Phascolarctidae. The record is from RNAcentral.
UAAAGGAUUAAAAUGUCGUACUAAGAAAACUCCUUUUUUUUUAAUUUAGCAAUUAACUAAUGGAGCCUAGAUGCAUACAAGAUAUUAUCCUCCAACAGAAUCCUUCCACUGAUGCUCCUACAUGUCCAGCAAUAGCAUUUACACUUCCAAAAUGGUGCUGAAAGACAUAAAAGAAACUUAAUGAAAAUGUCCUUCAGAAUGCAUGAAGUGAAAUAUUCAGAGCACUCCACUUGUGAAUCUAUGCUCGUCAUCUCACAGUAUCUGCCAAACUAUUUCAAAGACCUGGUCAGAGUUUCAGAACUAGUAACACUACCUGAAAAUGAAUGUUGGAGCCAGAUAAGAAACUAUAGGCUGCUUUCAAGAAGGUUACAAGAAAACUGCAUCUUGCAUUACUAAUCCUUUAUCUUCAUGUUAACAAAAAGAUUACUGACACAUUUUUGAAUGAAAGAAAAUAAAACAGCAAAUGCAUCUUAGAAAAUGUUUAAC